RNAcentral lists this ribosomal RNA (429 nucleotides) under Gemmatimonadota bacterium. Its description in RNAcentral is "Gemmatimonadetes bacterium partial 16S ribosomal RNA". It matches the Rfam family "Bacterial small subunit ribosomal RNA", at positions 355 to 776 of the family's 1533-position model. The record is from RNAcentral. Lineage: Bacteria; Pseudomonadati; Gemmatimonadota.
UAGGGAAUCUUCGGCAAUGGACGAAAGUCUGACCGAGCAACGCCGCGUGAGUGAAGAAGGUUUUCGGAUCGUAAAACUCUGUUGUUAGAGAAGAACAAGGACGUUAGUAACUGAACGUCCCCUGACGGUAUCUAACCAGAAAGCCACGGCUAACUACGUGCCAGCAGCCGCGGUAAUACGUAGGUGGCAAGCGUUGUCCGGAUUUAUUGGGCGUAAAGCGAGCGCAGGCGGUUUCUUAAGACUGAUGUGAAAGCCCCCGGCUCAACCGGGGAGGGUCAUUGGAAACUGGGAGACUUGAGUGCAAAAGAGGAGAGUGGAAUUCCAUGUGUAGCGGUGAAAUACGUAGAUAUAUGGAGGAACACCAGUGGCGAAGGCGGCUCUCUGGUCUGUAACUGACGCUGAGGCUGGAAAGCGUGGGGAGCAAACAGG